This 429-nucleotide ribosomal RNA is filed under the name Chloroflexota bacterium. Its description in RNAcentral is "Chloroflexi bacterium partial 16S ribosomal RNA". It matches the Rfam family "Bacterial small subunit ribosomal RNA", at positions 355 to 776 of the family's 1533-position model. Lineage: Bacteria; Bacillati; Chloroflexota. The record is from RNAcentral.
UGGGGAAUAUUGCACAAUGGGCGCAAGCCUGAUGCAGCCAUGCCGCGUGUGUGAAGAAGGCCUUCGGGUUGUAAAGCACUUUCAGCGGGGAGGAAGGCGAUAAGGUUAAUAACCUCAUCGAUUGACGUUACCCGCAGAAGAAGCACCGGCUAACUCCGUGCCAGCAGCCGCGGUAAUACGGAGGGUGCAAGCGUUAAUCGGAAUUACUGGGCGUAAAGCGCACGCAGGCGGUCUGUCAAGUCGGAUGUGAAAUCCCCGGGCUCAACCUGGGAACUGCAUUCGAAACUGGCAGGCUAGAGUCUUGUAGAGGGGGGUAGAAUUCCAGGUGUAGCGGUGAAAUGCGUAGAGAUCUGGAAGAAUACCGGUGGCGAAGGCGGCCCCCUGGACAAAGACUGACGCUCAGGUGCGAAAGCGUGGGGAGCAAACAGG